AUACGUAGGUCCCGAACGUUGCGCGAAAUUACUGGGCGUAAAGGGUCCGUAGGCGGUCUGGUAAGUGGAAGGUGAAAGCCUGGGGCUCAACUCCAGAAUUGCCUUCCAAACUGCCGGACUUGAGGCAGGGAGAGGUCGGCGGAAUUCCCGGUGUAGCGGAGAAAUGCGUAGAUAUCGGGAGGAACACCAGUAGCGAAGGCGGCCGACUGGAACUGUCCUGACGCUGAGGGACGAAAGCCAGGGGAGCGAACCGGAUUAGAAACCCUAGUAGUCC
RNAcentral lists this ribosomal RNA (274 nucleotides) under uncultured bacterium. Its description in RNAcentral is "partial 16S ribosomal RNA". It matches the Rfam family "Bacterial small subunit ribosomal RNA", at positions 523 to 796 of the family's 1533-position model. The record is from RNAcentral.